GCGCACCAGGCGCGAACCUCCACAAUGCGGGAAACCGUGAUGGGGGAAGUCCGAGUGCCCGUUCGGCGUAAUGCUGGCGGGCUUUCCUCAAGCGUAAAAGGCUUGAGGAAUAAGGACUGGGUAAGACCGGUGCCAGCCGCCGCGGUAACACCGGCGGUCCAACUGGUGAUCAGCAUUUAUUGGGGUCUAAAGCGUCCGUAGCCGGAUGGUUGGAUUUCGAGUGAAA
This 226-nucleotide ribosomal RNA is filed under the name uncultured microorganism. RNAcentral's name for it is "partial 16S ribosomal RNA". It matches the Rfam family "Archaeal small subunit ribosomal RNA", at positions 330 to 549 of the family's 1478-position model. The record is from RNAcentral.